CAGACCUAAAAUUUAAAAGACUUGACGGUACCUCACAAUAACCUAGAGGAGCCUGUCAAAUAACCGAUACCCCACGAUUAACCCAACCCCCCCUAGCCAACAGUCUAUAUACCGCCGUCGCCAGCCCACCUUGUGAAAGAAAUAAAGUGGGCCAAAUAGCCACACGCUAAUACGACAGGUCGAGGUGUAACUUAUGAGGAGGACAAAGAUGGGCUACAUUUUUUAACACAGAAAAUACGAAUAAAAUAUGAAACAAUAAACUGAAGGCGGAUUUAGCAGUAUAUUAAGAAUAGAAUGCAUAAUAGAAAUCAACGCAAUGAGGUGCGUACACACCGCCCGUCAUCCCUGUAAACCUAACCCAAAUAUACAUAAUA
Molecule: ribosomal RNA, 374 nt
Filed under: Sonora semiannulata (Variable ground snake)
Lineage: Eukaryota; Metazoa; Chordata; Lepidosauria; Squamata; Colubridae
Description: partial 12S ribosomal RNA
Source: RNAcentral